GAUGAACGCUGGCGGCGUGCCUAAUACAUGCAAGUCGAGCGAACAGACGAGGAGCUUGCUCCUCUGACGUUAGCGGCGGACGGGUGAGUAACACGUGGAUAACCUACCUAUAAGACUGGGAUAACUUCGGGAAACCGGAGCUAAUACCGGAUAAUAUAUUGAACCCCAUGGUUCAAUAGUGAAAGACGGUUUUGCUGUCACUUAUAGAUGGAUCCGCGCCGCAUUAGCUAGUUGGUAAGGUAACGGCUUACCAAGGCAACGAUGCGUAGCCGACCUGAGAGGGUGAUCGGCCACACUGGAACUGAGACACGGUCCAGACUCCUACGGGAGGCAGCAGUAGGGAAUCUUCCGCAAUGGGCGAAAGCCUGACGGAGCAACGCCGCGUGAGUGAUGAAGGUCUUCGGAUCGUAAAACUCUGUUAUUAGGGAAGAACAAAUGUGUAAGUAACUAUGCACGUCUUGACGGUACCUAAUCAGAAAGCCACGGCUAACUACGUG
This 497-nucleotide ribosomal RNA is filed under the name uncultured bacterium. RNAcentral's name for it is "partial 16S ribosomal RNA". It matches the Rfam family "Bacterial small subunit ribosomal RNA", at positions 28 to 507 of the family's 1533-position model. The record is from RNAcentral.